UUCGUCACCCAACUUGGCAGUUUGUCGAACCUUGACCUCUUUAGUGUGUUUACUAUCUCCUGUGUUUAUUCGCUUGUGUGCUAAUUACUUUAGUUUUUUCUGCAAUGCUUAAGAUCAUUGUAUGCUCCGUUGCCUUUGUUCCUGGCUGCCUGUCGCUUGCUACCAUGUGCCUCUCCAGUCGUGAUGGGCCAUACACACGUCGGACUAUCAACCAGGAGAAUGGGGUUCCAUCUGAAAACCAACAGGUACCUGGAAGGUGGAGUGCCACUGAUGAUUAGUUGCGAGCACCUGAGCCCGGUGCUCUUCAGCUAUAUGACCCAACCUACCUGGAGCCUGGCACUCUCUCUCUCCUUUAUGCCUUUCAUUUGUUUGCGGACACACAACAUCUUCUUUUCACAUUACAGCUACACUCAUGCAUACACUCACCCACACUAUUGAAUUUACUGAUAGUCACACCUCAUCAUAUCUUUGGUUUAUGUUUUGAUUGAUUUAUUAUUCUUUGUUAAA
Long non-coding RNA from Centropristis striata (black sea bass), 507 nucleotides. RefSeq lists it as uncharacterized. The record is from RefSeq and is a predicted model, not a curated record. The transcript has 3 exons. NCBI's taxonomy places the organism in Eukaryota, Metazoa, Chordata, Actinopteri, Perciformes, Serranidae.